CUGAUAUUUAUUGAAUGGCCGCGGUAUUUUAACCGUGCAAAGGUAGCAUAAUCAUUAGUUUUUUAAUUGAGGACUUGUAUGAAUGAUUGAAUGAAAUAUAAACUGUCUCGUAAAAAUUUAAAAUAGAAUUUAAUUUUUUAGUUAAAAAGCUAAAAUAAAAUUAAAAAGACGAGAAGACCCUAUAGAUCUUUAUAUUAUAAUACAUUAUUUUUUUUUAUAUUUUUUGAAUUAAUAUAUUAUUUUAUUUUGUUGGGGUGACAUUAAAAUUUUAUUAACUUUUAAUUAUAAAUUUACAUAAAUUUAUGAAUUAUUUUGAUCUUUUAUUAAUGAUUAAAAAUUUAAGUUACCUUAGGGAUAACAGCGUAAUUAUUUUGGAGAGUUCAUAUCGAUAAAAUAGAUUGCGACCUCGAUGUUGGAUUAAGAUAAGUUUUAGGUGUAGAAGCUUAAAAAACUAAGUCUGUUCGACUUUUAAUUUCUUACAUGAUCUGAGUUCAGACCGGA
Molecule: ribosomal RNA, 501 nt
Filed under: Teuchophorus simplicissimus
Lineage: Eukaryota; Metazoa; Arthropoda; Insecta; Diptera; Dolichopodidae
Description: partial 16S ribosomal RNA
Rfam family: Bacterial large subunit ribosomal RNA (bases 354-501)
Source: RNAcentral